GGAGAGGUACGAAAGUGGCUUAACCGGAUGGCUUGCUAAGCCAUUGUACCGUUAAUUUGGUACCGAGGGUUCGAAUCCCUCCCUCUCCGCCA
RNAcentral lists this transfer RNA (92 nucleotides) under Candidatus Omnitrophota bacterium. RNAcentral's name for it is "Candidatus Omnitrophica bacterium (aquatic metagenome) tRNA-Ser". It matches the Rfam family "tRNA". From Rfam's summary of the family: Transfer RNA (tRNA) molecules are approximately 80 nucleotides in length. Their secondary structure includes four short double-helical elements and three loops (D, anti-codon, and T loops). Further hydrogen bonds mediate the characteristic L-shaped molecular structure. tRNAs have two regions of fundamental functional importance: the anti-codon, which is responsible for specific mRNA codon recognition, and the 3' end, to which the tRNAs corresponding amino acid is attached (by aminoacyl-tRNA synthetases). tRNAs cope with the degeneracy of the genetic code in two manners: having more than one tRNA (with a specific anti-codon) for a particular amino acid; and 'wobble' base-pairing, i.e. permitting non-standard base-pairing at the 3rd anti-codon position. Lineage: Bacteria; Pseudomonadati; Candidatus Omnitrophota. The record is from RNAcentral.